Molecule: ribosomal RNA, 497 nt
Filed under: uncultured bacterium
Lineage: Bacteria
Description: partial 16S ribosomal RNA
Rfam family: Bacterial small subunit ribosomal RNA
Source: RNAcentral
GAUGAACGCUGGCGGCGUGCCUAAUACAUGCAAGUCGAGCGAACGGACGAGGAGCUUGCUCCUCUGAUGUUAGCGGCGGACGGGUGAGUAACACGUGGAUAACCUACCUAUAAGACUGGGAUAACUUCGGGAAACCGUAGCUAAUACCGGAUAAUAUUUUGAACCGCAUGGUUCAAAAGUGAAAGACGGUCUUGCUGUCACUUAUAGAUGGAUCCGCGCCGCAUUAGCUAGUUGGUAAGGUAACGGCUUACCAAGGCAACGAUGCAUAGCCGACCUGAGAGGGUGAUCGGCCACACUGGAACUGAGACACGGUCCAGACUCCUACGGGAGGCAGCAGUAGGGAAUCUUCCGCAAUGGGCGAAAGCCUGACGGAGCAACGCCGCGUGAGUGAUGAAGGUCUUCGGAUCGUAAAACUCUGUUAUUAGGGAAGAACAUAUGUGUAAGUAACUGUGCACGUCUUGACGGUACCUAAUCAGAAAGCCACGGCUAACUACGUG